GGCCAAGCUUCUGCGUCUGUUUUUUGGCCAACCCUUGUUCUGCCCUUUUUGGCCAACCGUUGUUUGAGCUGCUUAGCCCUCUGUUCAGUCCUCUACGCCGCGUGUUCGAGCCUCUGUUCCGCGGCCUUUCAGCCACCGUUCUGCCAUUGUCUGCCUCCAUUCAGCCAUCUCCGUCGCGUUUUAGAGCUCCUCCCUUUCUAUUUCUUGUAUUUUGCUUUGAGAUAGUUAAUGGUGUCAUUGAAGUUGAAGGAAUAGCAGAGGAGAAAACUGCAGGUGCUGAAGAGGAUGAAGAAAAAGGAGUACCUGCUUUUUGGCUCAAUGCAAUGAAAAAUAAUGAAGUGUUAGCUGAUGAGAUCUUGGUUAGCAGCUUGAAUCCCAAAUAAACUACAACAGCAGAUAGAUACAUCAAUCUAUGGAUCAGAAACUACAGUAACUCAUAACAUUAAGAUGGAAUUGAAACCUACAAAUUAUAAGAUGGAAGAUUACAUUUACCUGAAAGAACUAUUCUAGAGUGUUGUCAGCUUCACAGGGCAAGACUCCUUUUAGUAGCUUCCAUAUUAGAUAAAAGAUCUUUAAUGUCUGCCUCCAUUCUCCUUUUCAUGUUGAAAUACUCCAGAUGUGCUCGUUCUAAUGCUUGAAUUUCUUCGAGUUUCUGCCUAUGCAUUUCCUCUGUCUCACCCAGUCUCAGCUUCGCAAUUCGCUGAAAGUCUUUUGGGAUAAUACUCAUUUGCAGCUCAGGCGCCAGAGUCCUUUUAUCAUCUUGAUCAAAGCUGG
Molecule: non-coding RNA, 774 nt
Organism: Arachis ipaensis
Lineage: Eukaryota; Viridiplantae; Streptophyta; Magnoliopsida; Fabales; Fabaceae
Source: RefSeq, a predicted model, not a curated record